GCCCGGGGCUCGCUUCAAAGUCAGUGGCGGCCGCCGUCCGACCUUCAGCGCAGUAAUGCUCGCCGCUGUUAGGGAAGGGCAGCAAGGGCCGUCAUACAACCCCCACACACAAGGUUGACCUCGGAUCAGGUAGGGAUACCCGCUGAACUUAAGCAUAUCAAUAAGCGGAGGAAAAGAAACCAACAGGGAUUGCCUCAGUAACGGCGAGUGAAGCGGCAACAGCUCAAAUUUGAAAGCUGGCUCCUUCGGGGCCCGCGUUGUAAUUUGUAGAGGAUGCUUCGGGCGCGGCGCCGGUCUAAGUUCUCUGGAACGAGACGUCAUAGAGGGUGAGAAUCCCGUAUGUGACUGGCCGCCUGUGCCCAUGUGAAGCUCCUUCGACGAGUCGAGUUGUUUGGGAAUGCAGCUCAAAAUGGGAGGUGUACUCCUUCUAAAGCUAAAUAUUGGCCAGAGACCGAUAGCGCACAAGUAGAGUGAUCGAAAGAUGAAAAGCACUUUGGAAAGAGAGUUAAACAGUACGUGAAAUUGUUGAAAGGGAAGCGCUUGCAAUCAGACUUGCGCGGCGUCGAUCAGCCUGGGUUCUCCCUGGUGCACUCGGCGCCGCUCAGGCCAGCAUCAGUUUCGGCGGUGGGAUAAAGGCCUAGGGAACGUGGGUCCCCU
This 657-nucleotide ribosomal RNA is filed under the name Leotiomycetes sp. genotype 689 JMUR-2016. RNAcentral's name for it is "eukaryotic LSU rRNA". The stretch from base 116 to 657 matches the Rfam family "Eukaryotic large subunit ribosomal RNA", at positions 1 to 546 of the family's 3401-position model. The record is from RNAcentral. Lineage: Eukaryota; Fungi; Ascomycota; Leotiomycetes.